Molecule: transfer RNA, 63 nt
Filed under: Flustra foliacea (greater hornwrack)
Lineage: Eukaryota; Metazoa; Bryozoa; Gymnolaemata; Cheilostomatida; Flustridae
Description: tRNA-Gln
Source: RNAcentral
UUUACAGAAGAGAUUACUCGCAGAGCUUUGAAUUCUGAGUAGGGAUUAUAAUCCCCUGUGAAA